GCCGCCGCGGUGCGCUGGCUGCAGGAAGCCGCCGCGCCACCGCUUUGUUGUUAGGGGCCCCGCGAGGAGCGCCGUUCGCCGCCGCCGCCCUCUCUCCCCGCAGCCCGCUCUCCGGCCGCGGGGCCCGAGUCCGGGCGCCCCGCCCGUCCUGCCCAUGAGGGGGCCCAGCGACCACCGCUGCCUCCGGCCCGGGGCGGCGCGGCGCUGAGGCGGCGGCGGCGCUGCCCGCUCUGCGGGAUCGGGCGGCUCCGGCCUCCUCCCCGAGAGCACCAUGGAGGUGAAUGCGGGAGGUGUGAUUGCCUAUAUCAGCUCUUCCAGCUCAGCCUCUAGCCCUGCGUCUUGUCACAGUGAGGGCUCCGAGAACAGUUUUCAGUCCUCCUCCGUCCCAUCUUCUCCGGCUAGCACUAAUGCUGAUAACAACGGGAAUCCCAAAAAUGGCCAUCUCUCCAAUACUGAAGGCAUCCUGAAGGAUGAUCGGAUAGAUUGUUCUAUGAAAACAAGCAAAUCGAGCGCACCUGGGAUGACAAAGAGUCACAGUUCAGUGACAAAAUUUAGUGGCAUGGUUCUACUGUGUAAAGUCUGUGGGGAUGUGGCGUCAGGAUUCCACUAUGGAGUUCAUGCUUGUGAAGGCUGUAAGGGUUUUUUCCGGAGAAGCAUUCAGCAAAACAUUCAGUACAAGAAGUGCCUGAAGAAUGAAAACUGCUCUAUAAUGAGAAUGAAUAGGAACAGAUGUCAGCAGUGUCGUUUCAAAAAGUGUCUGUCUGUUGGAAUGUCGAGAGAUGCUGUUCGGUUUGGUCGUAUUCCUAAGCGUGAAAAACAGAGGAUGCUAAUUGAGAUGCAGAGUGCCAUGAAGACCAUGAUGAACAGCCAGUUCAGUGGUCAUCUACAGAGCGACCAAUUAGUAGAACAUCAUGAACAGACAGCUUUACCAGCCCAGGAACAGCUGCGACCCAAGCCCCAGCUGGAGCAAGAAAACAUCAAAAGCUCUUCUCCCUCUUCAGAUUUUGCAAAGGAAGAAGUGAUUGGCAUGGUAACCAGAGCGCACAAGGAUACCUUUAUGUAUAAUCAGGAGCAGCGAGAAAACUCGGCAGAGACCGUGCAGCCGCAGAGAGAACGGAUUCCUAAGAACAUGGAGCAAUAUAAUUUGAAUCAUGACCGUUGUGGCAGUGGGCUUAGCAGCCACUUUCCUUGUAGUGAGAGCCAGCAGCACCUCGGUGGACAGUACAAAGGGAGGAACGUAAUGCAUUACGCCAAUGGGCAUGCCAUUUGUAUUACAAAUGGACAUUGUGUGAACUUCUCCAAUGCUUAUACUCAGAGAGUAUGUGAUAGAGUUUCCAUAGAUGGAUGUUCUCAGAAUGAGAACGAGAAUAGUUACCUGUGCAACACUGGAGGGAGAAUGCAUCUGGUUUGUCCAAUGAAUAAGUCUCCGUAUGUGGAUCCUCAUAAAUCGGGGCAUGAAAUCUGGGAAGAAUUUUCGAUGAGCUUCACCCCAGCAGUGAAGGAAGUGGUGGAGUUUGCAAAGCGUAUUCCCGGCUUCAGAGAUCUCUCUCAACAUGACCAGGUCAACCUUUUAAAGGCUGGGACUUUCGAGGUUUUAAUGGUACGGUUUGCAUCAUUAUUUGACGCAAAGGAACGUACUGUCACCUUUUUAAGUGGAAAGAAGUAUAGUGUGGAUGAUUUACACUCAAUGGGAGCAGGGGAUCUGCUAAACUCUAUGUUUGAAUUUAGUGAGAAGCUAAAUGCCCUCCAACUCAGUGAUGAAGAGAUGAGUCUGUUUACAGCAGUUGUCCUGGUUUCUGCAGAUCGAUCCGGGAUAGAAAACGUCAACUCUGUGGAGGCUUUGCAGGAAACGCUUAUCCGCGCCCUAAGGACCUUAAUAAUGAAAAACCAUCCAAACGAGGCCUCUAUUUUUACAAAACUUCUUCUAAAGUUGCCAGAUCUUCGAUCUUUAAACAACAUGCACUCCGAGGAGCUCUUGGCCUUUAAAGUUCACCCCUAAGGCCUUGGUUUAUUUAAACAUGGACUGAUUCAUGCUGACUGUAUAUUUUGUGCGGAAAUGCUUAUUUACGUGUGCACCAUACGUGGAGGUAGGAGAGACCUCUAGGACAACAUGAGACUGCAGGCCGCCUCUGUGACCAGGCAGCAGCUGCUUGAGAUUUCUUCAGCCAUGCUUAGACAUUGACCGCAAUUCCCCGGUAGACCAGUCAGCGGUGUUGCACUUAAACUGGAGAAGUUACACUGAAUUAUAGUCACACUGAAUGUUAGACUUUUUCAUCUGCCAAAACCAAAAACCAUUUUGAUCUCCCUGUGGUACAAAUAUAAUGCACAAUCACAAGUAUAUGAGGACUUAAAAAUUAAUCCUUUGUGGUGGAAGUUCUCUUAUAAGAUGGAAACUUGAUUUCACCCCAAGACUGUUGGAUCUGGUGUUUGGAGACUUUGCAAGUUAGGAAACCUCCUUGUCUGUGCUCCACUCUGCCACCGUGAAAGUGCGUGGUCCUGGACAGGCUCGCUGGUUGUGGAAAAUGAGACUUGAUCGUGUUCCCAAUGCCCCGCCUCACAGAGAUGCUGACGAAUGUCUAGAAAGCAUAUUUACCUCCUGGGAGAUAGGCACUAUGUAAAUACGUAUGUGGGCCUCUCACUGCUGUGGCCUCUCCCGUUGUGGAGCACAGGCUCCGGACGUGCAGGCUCAGCGGCCAUGGCUCACGGGCCCAGCCGCUCCGCGCCAUGUGGGAUCUUCCCGGACCGGGGCACAAACCCGUGUUCCCUGCAUCGGCAGGCGGACUCUCAACCACUGCGCCACCAGGGAAGCCCUCCCCUACAUUUUAACAAAUUAUUAAAGAGGGUGAGAUCGGUGUUUUUCAGAAAACUCAAUACAAAACACCUGGGGUGAAUAUGGCGUUCCUAAAUCUUUUUAGAAUUGAGUGUGAUCUUCUGAUGUCUCGAAGGUAAGCGGUUUUCUCUUCUGUUGUUUCAUUUUUCUCUGAACCCUCCUUACCCUUAACCUCAGCAGUUUCCCCACCCCCCCCCAUUACUUUGUUGCUUUGCUUGUAAAUUUUCAUCUAUAAUUUUCCCUCCUACAAGAGGCAUUUCAUUUCCUGAGAGAUUCUGCAGUUAAACACAAGUAGGGUAGUUUCCAAAAGUGGAAAGCACCUACACUUCCAUUCUCUCGAUCACCUUUUUGCCCCUCCCCUGCCCCUGCAAUUGCUGUUCUUUUUCUGAACUGUUUUAUCUGAUAGGAUUUUUGAGGAAUAGACUGAUGGUUUAGUUCUUCAUUACUUACGUUUAUUGAACAUCUGUGUCUCAGGAUUUUUAUUGUUUUUUAAUCCAAAUGUAAAGGGAGGUUCCAUGAAAAUCCAGGGCACUAAUCCGGACAGCAUUGUGAAGUUGUAUGCCGGUACAGCAGGUGGCUGUCAGUCACAGCACUUGCACUGGUGGAUGCCAGCAGCUCCUGUUCUAGCCGUGCUGUGCCGGGGCCGGCUUCUGGGGGCUCCUGAGGUCUGGUGUGACAUGUUCAGGAAUUUAGGGACCUGGUUGUUAGAAACACAGCCAUUAUUAAAAGUUAAAUCAUAUAAGCUUACAGUUGAGUUAUAUUUGAAAGAGAAUACUCAAAGCUCGCCUCUUCCUAAUUCUUCUAAGUUUAUUGUUAAUGCUUUAUGUGUAUGGUGGGUUAUGUGUAUGGUGGGAAUACUUCAUGACACUGUGUUCCUGCACAUCUCUUCCCAGCUCCCUGCCAAGGGAUUAUUUAUACCGUGAAAAGCUGCACAUGCUCUGAAUCACGGCUUGAUUUAUUGUUUUGUUGAUUUUCUAGACUUAAGAAAGUGAUGGAGAAAAUGUUAAUAAUACAGGUUAAAAGUCUGUUGCCAUUAACCAUUGCAAAUGGCACAGAGAAGUGAAGAAAUUGUCCAGUAGUUGAAAACUAUUAUCUGAUUCAGCAAAGAAGUUUCUCAUGUCACUGAUAAACGUCAAGUUCUAACAUAGUUCUUCUUGUUUGUUUUGUUGUAUUAAUAUACUUAAAAUAUCAAUCAACAUUCAUGCCAGAACUAUACUUGUUUGUCAGUUGCAACUCUGGCAAAAAUAAAAGAAUGCAUUCUAUGAGAAUUAAUUGUUUAUAUGGAAUUUACAGUAAAGAGUAUUGUAUGGUUUAUAUAUUGUGUGCUGCAUAGCCUUUCAGUAAGAAUAAUACAUACAUACACACUCACACGUAUGUUUUUCCUUCCCAGGGAGCUGGUUGUUAAACAUUAGCAUCACAGCACUAUUGCUUAACCCCAAGAGGUGAUUCUGAAACCAGCGUUCAGAGUUUCAGUAACUUAUUGAAGGUCACACAGCUACUGAGUAGAGAGUCGGAUUGCAAGACCCAGAUAUUUGGGCCUUAGAAUCUGUUCUCAGCUGUCAUGUGUAACAGAGAGGCACUGGGCUUGGGGUCUCCUUGGCAGAGUGGUUUUUCGUGGGUCUACUUUGAUCUCUGCAGAUGUGGGUGGUUUGGGAAGGGGUAAAGGGGAAGCUCUUAGGCAAGGAUUCAGUACAUAAUAGUCUAGUGUUAUCCCCCCAACCCCUAAGUAAAAUUUUCUCUCAUCUGUAAAAAGGGUAAACUCAAGUGGCUGCAAGACUAAAUGAGGUGUGUUAAAAACUGCGCAGACAGUGAAGCCUAUACAGACCCUAGGUCCCUGCCAUUAAAUAGAAUGAGGAGAAAGCGGGAGUUGUCCCUGGGGCAGUGAGGCGCCCUGGAGGGGCCUCUGCCCGCUCAGCCUGGGUGGUGGGUCUCUCACAAGCCCUCUGGGCUGGAGUCACUGAGGGGUGACUCUGGAUUUAGGCCUUCUCAGCUAGAAACUGCCCUGUCAGUAAAGACUGACUCAGGGAUGACCUCAGCCUUCAGACACUGCUUCCUCAGGAGAAUCUGAAACACGGGACGACAGAUAACCGAGUCUGUAUCUCAUCACCGGUCCCCCAGACGAGAACGUACAGGGAGGAUCCUUAGUGUUCUAGUUGGUGCCGGCAUCGUCCAAGGUGAACUUCUACGUCAGAGGGCAGGAAUCAUUGGCUUAAUGCUUCUGGACAGUAAAAAUAACUUCCGUAUCCUCAAUGGUCUCUAGAGGUUCCCUUUCCCGUCCUGGGUUCAGCGCUCCUCUGCGAAGUGAGGGGAUUGAACCACGCCCUCCAGCAUCCCUUCCAGGGCCGACCUCUGUGAUGUGAUGGUACGCAAACAACACAGUUAAAAGAGAAAGAAGGGCCAGAGUGGAGAAUGUGUUGGGGAUUGGGGUGGGCAGAGACCCUGCAGCUAAAGGGCGACACCCCACCUACCUUAACCCGGGGUGAACAGGCACCCUGCCGGCCUGCCGUCUGUGCAUGGUCCUCCCUCGCCCGCCAUUAGCUCCGAGUCACCUCUCAAGG
Molecule: RNA transcript, 5388 nt
Organism: Lagenorhynchus albirostris (white-beaked dolphin)
Lineage: Eukaryota; Metazoa; Chordata; Mammalia; Artiodactyla; Delphinidae
Gene: NR1D2
Gene name: nuclear receptor subfamily 1 group D member 2
Exons: 9
Source: RefSeq, a predicted model, not a curated record